Molecule: long non-coding RNA, 1369 nt
Filed under: Felis catus (domestic cat)
Lineage: Eukaryota; Metazoa; Chordata; Mammalia; Carnivora; Felidae
Description: lncRNA (ENSFCAG00000047076.1)
Source: RNAcentral
UAUGAAUCUGAGCUUCAAGGAACCUGAGAACCCGAGAGCCUCUUGCCACCAGGUCCCUCUUCUGGAACCCCCAGAAGAGGGUGAUGGCAUAAAAGAGAGAUUCCAGGGUGCUGACCCAGCACCAUGUCCAUUCUGAUUGGUUGAUGCCUUUGCCUUUUUGAUAAUACUUCAUUCCUGUAGGUAAUUAACAGAGGAUAAUACUAUCAUUCCUGUAGGUAGUUAACAGAGGCACAAAGCACUCAUCUACAGGGAUCAGAGGAAGAAAUAACUUCAUGAUAUGAGAACGGUGCCUGAUGAAAUCAGUCUGGAAGGGAGGGAGGCAACCUCCAGCCAAACCCAACAGAUCAGGUGAUGUUUUGUUUCUAGGUAUCUACUCAAAACCCCUGUCCCUGUGGGCACAAGGGGGACUCCAGAUUCAAGGCACUUACAAUCCAGAUGCAAGGAUGCCCCUAACCGCUAUUUCAUGAAGGUGAAUUUGAGAAACCAGAAAAGAAAGAAGGGAUGAGGAACUCCAGUUGAAGUCUAGAAAUUCAGGUGUCUUGAAAUGUAGGAAGGCUUAAAACACCUGCUACUCCUGGGCCUUCCAGAAGCAUUCAAGGUACUUAAGAAGACAGCCAUGCCCAUUACCAAAGAUGAUUCCAUGUGGAAAUGUUCUCAUGCUGUUGGUGUUAGAGGGAGGGAGACAGUAAAUCUGGCUGAGGGAGGGUGUCAUGAAAGUGAACUGGAAGAACUCACUCUUGAAGGGUAAUUAAGGUGGUCACUGGUCACUGGCCUCCAGUGGAGGGCAUGUCAGACUUCCACCCUCUGGAAGUCUGAGAGGCCAAGGCAUGUUUCUGGAAUUCCUAGUGACAUAGAAACAUAGAAUUAUAGGGUACUCAAGUCAGGUCUUCAAUAAGAAAAGUAGGGAUGACUUCAGUUAAAAAGUAUGUAGAAAAUAGUGCUAAGGAGAUGGAAGGAGAUGAAGAGGCAUUGACAGAGCAGAGAGAAAAGAGAGAUCUUGCUCUGUGGACUCCAGCUGUAACUGUGGCAUAGGGUUUAGCAAAAUGGCUAUAUAACUGGGUGAUUUAAUAAGUCUCAGGCUCUUGAGUCAUCCACUGCAUUCGUGUCUGUAACAAACUACCCCAAACUGAGUGGUUUAAAUAUCAGAAAUCUAGGGGCGCCUGGGUGGCUCAGUCGGUUAAGCGGCCGACUUCGGCUCAGGUCAUGAUCUCUCAGUUCGUGAGUUCGAGCCCCGCGUUGGGCUCUGUGCUGACAGCUCAGAGCCUGGAGCCUGUUUCGGAUUCUGUGUCUCCCUCUCUCUGACCCUCCCCCGUUCAUGCUCUGUCUCUCUCUGUCUCAAAAAUAAAAUAAAAACGUUAAAAAAAAAACA